GGGGCUGUAGCUCAGCUCGGCAGAGCACUUGCAUGGCAUGCAAGGGGUCAGGGGUUCAAAUCCCCUCAGCUCCACCA
Molecule: transfer RNA, 77 nt
Filed under: Gammaproteobacteria bacterium
Lineage: Bacteria; Pseudomonadati; Pseudomonadota; Gammaproteobacteria
Also listed under: 5 other names
Description: tRNA-Ala
Rfam family: tRNA
About the family: Transfer RNA (tRNA) molecules are approximately 80 nucleotides in length.
Source: RNAcentral